AUAAAACCCUGCUUCUGCACUUAUUUAUUUUCUUUAAAACCCAUGAAUUAAAAUACUCCUUAAUUAGUAAUUAAUUACUCCUUAAUCAAUCCCAUGUGGUGGGUUGUGAGGAAUGAGCUGUAUCAUUUACAAAGUUAUAAAGGGAAGAAGAUUAAUUAAUAAAAUAUAAUUAAUUAGGAUCCAAAAGGUGCUCUAUGAGGGAUGCCUUUUCUUCUUCUUGAAUUGGAAUUGUGAGAAGUGCUUCUGUACAUGUCUUGUUGGCUUUCUACACGCAAUUCUUCUUCUUCCUUUGAUGUCAAUCUUCUUCCUGAAAUUCCUUCCCUUCUUUCCUCCAUUUCCUCCUUCUUAGUGGUUAAGUUAAAGUUGGUAUCCCCAUUUUUCUUUAUUCCUACUACCUUGCAUCCGAGAGAACAGAAACGAAAGGGGUCCAAGAGACUUCUUCCACAUGUUUCGCAUAAAUGAGAGACCCCUUUGCUUGAACUAGUCUUAGGCUGUGGUCUUUCAUUUAGAAAAAGAACUCUAGCACUGUUUAUAACGUAAGUUUGAACUUCACUAAUGUCCAAAACAUUCUGAAUCUCAGCAACCCUAACAACAUCAUGAUACGAUGAUCUCCUGAUUUGAAUAACUAUAUGAUCUUUGUGGCUGGAGGAUCGGCAAUAGAAGCAAAAGGCAUCGUCCUUGCAAUCAAGGCAAAACAUAUUGCAUUCAUUACGUGGGGAAUCUUGGUGCCUAGGGCAAAUGUUGAAAAAUGAAGAUGACAAUAACGAUUCUAGCCAUGGUGGCACCAGCAUUUGUUCCAUUAACAAGAAAUGAGCAAGAAACGGAGGCUCUACUCCACGGAGAAAUAGGUGAUGAGGGGUUGAUUCACAUAGGAUUCAUCAGCAAAUUGAAGGAGAAAGAUCAAAGAAGACAAGAAAAACCAAGGGCGUAAAAGUUGAGAUCAAGGUCUGGUAGAUUAAGGUGGGUUUUGAAACGUUGGAUUUGAGAAAGAAAAAGAGCAGUGGGAGUGUUUGGAGCUUACGCAAAAGUUUAGGUUCUUG
This 1040-nucleotide unclassified non-coding RNA is filed under the name Hevea brasiliensis (rubber tree). The record is from RNAcentral. Lineage: Eukaryota; Viridiplantae; Streptophyta; Magnoliopsida; Malpighiales; Euphorbiaceae.